This 253-nucleotide ribosomal RNA is filed under the name uncultured bacterium. RNAcentral's name for it is "partial 16S ribosomal RNA". It matches the Rfam family "Bacterial small subunit ribosomal RNA", at positions 524 to 776 of the family's 1533-position model. The record is from RNAcentral.
UACGAAGGGGGCUAGCGUUGCUCGGAAUCACUGGGCGUAAAGCGCACGUAGGCGGAUUCCUAAGUCGGGGGUGAAAUCCUGGAGCUCAACUCCAGAACUGCCUUCGAUACUGGGAAUCUUGAGUCCGGGAGAGGUGAGUGGAACUGCGAGUGUAGAGGUGAAAUUCGUAGAUAUUCGCAAGAACACCAGUGGCGAAGGCGGCUCACUGGCCCGGUACUGACGCUGAGGUGCGAAAGCGUGGGGAGCAAACAGG